AAGUUGACCUCAAAUCAGGUAGGAUUACCCGCUGAACUUAAGCAUAUCA
RNAcentral lists this ribosomal RNA (49 nucleotides) under Scheffersomyces stipitis. Its description in RNAcentral is "partial 26S ribosomal RNA". The record is from RNAcentral. Lineage: Eukaryota; Fungi; Ascomycota; Pichiomycetes; Serinales; Debaryomycetaceae.